RNAcentral lists this ribosomal RNA (254 nucleotides) under uncultured bacterium. Its description in RNAcentral is "partial 16S ribosomal RNA". It matches the Rfam family "Bacterial small subunit ribosomal RNA", at positions 524 to 776 of the family's 1533-position model. The record is from RNAcentral.
UACGUAGGGUGCGAGCGUUAAUCGGAAUUACUGGGCGUAAAGCGUGCGCAGGCGGUGAUGUAAGACAGAUGUGAAAUCCCCCGGGCUCAACCUGGGACCUGCAUUUGUGACUGCAUCGCUAGAGUACGGCAGAGGGGGAUGGAAUUCCGCGUGUAGCAGUGAAAUGCGUAGAGAUGUGGAGGAAUACCGAUGGCGAAGGCAGCCCCCUGGGAUAACACUGACGCUCAUGCACGAAAGCGUGGGGAGCAAACAGG